Rattus norvegicus (Norway rat) is the source of this 85-nucleotide small nucleolar RNA. Ensembl annotates it as small nucleolar RNA SNORA5. Lineage: Eukaryota; Metazoa; Chordata; Mammalia; Rodentia; Muridae. The record is from Ensembl.
AGCAGGUUUGUCUGCCAGAAACUCCUUGGCUCCUUGGUCUAGUUUCUUAUUUUUCUAGCUAGAGUAAUUUUGGUCAGAUAAUUUA